AAUGUAUAGCAAUAGCUACUUGCAUCAUUGUAAAUAUGAUGCAAGAUCGACUAUGUCGAAUAAAAUUCUAGGUAGAAUUAUGAUAAUGACAUUGUCUGCCUAUGUGUCUUGACCAAAUUACGUGCCAGCAGUCGCGGUAAUACGUAGAAGACUAGUGUUAUUCAUGUUUAAUCGGUUUAAAGGGUACCUAGACGGUAAAUCAAGCCUAAAAAGAAAGAAAUAAAGGGACUAAUUUACUAGAGUUACUUAUGAGGGGGUAUUAAAGUACUGCUGGUGUAGAGAUGAAAUUCUGUCAUACCUCUUUUCAAUAGAAAAAUAACGGCACAGGUAUAGGCGAAGGCAUCCCCUUAUGUGAUAACUGACGUUGAGGGACGAAGGCUUUGUGUAGCGAACAGGAUUAGAUACCCCAGUAGUCAAAGCAGAAAAUGAUGAAUGUCAUAGAUUAGAUGUAUAAGUUUAUUCUAUAAAUGAAAGUGUAAGCAUUCCACCUCAAGAGUAAUUUGGCAACAUUGGAACUGAAAUCAUUAGACCGUUUCUGAAACCAGUAGUGAAGUAUGUUGUUUAAUUUGAUGAUCCGCAAAAAACCUUACCACAAUUUGAAUAUUUAUAUUUUUAUUUAUUGUUUUCUUUUUAAUUUUCUUCUGAUUUUCUGCUUGAGGAAAAAAGAAGAAAAGUAAAAAAAGGCAAUAAGAUAUAUUUACAAGCGUUGCACGGCUGUCUUCAGUUAAUGUCGUGAGACUAUGGUUAGUUCCAUUAAAUUAACGUAAACCCUUACUUUAUUUUUAUAUAGAGUAGUUCCCCGCUAUAUUGGAUAUGAUAACAGG
RNAcentral lists this ribosomal RNA (824 nucleotides) under Vulpicida viridis. RNAcentral's name for it is "SSU rRNA". It matches the Rfam family "Bacterial small subunit ribosomal RNA", at positions 360 to 1152 of the family's 1533-position model. Lineage: Eukaryota; Fungi; Ascomycota; Lecanoromycetes; Lecanorales; Parmeliaceae. The record is from RNAcentral.